Long non-coding RNA from Homo sapiens (human), 68 nucleotides. Lineage: Eukaryota; Metazoa; Chordata; Mammalia; Primates; Hominidae. The record is from Ensembl.
CCAAUGUUUCAUUUCAACUGGCUUAAAUCUUCAAAGUGGUUAAGAAUUUAGUAAAUAAAACUACUUAA